AUGGAAACAGACUGCCUAGAGAUAGUUAAUCUCUGGAACACUCGUCAUAACAACCUUUCUGUUGUGGCUCCUUUACUUUUAGAAAUUGGAGAGCUAGCUUCCUCUUUUUCUUCUUUUGUUGUUCAACAUGUAAACAGAUCAGCCAAUUUACUGGCCCACCUUUGUGCUAAACAUGCAAAGACAUUGUUGGUCACCGAAAGUUGGACUGGUUCGAGACCUUCCUUCCUACUCACCAGCCUUUUGGCGGAUGAUGCUAGGAGUGCCUUUGUUGAAUAA
RNAcentral lists this ribosomal RNA (276 nucleotides) under Triticum aestivum (bread wheat). Its description in RNAcentral is "partial small subunit ribosomal RNA". The record is from RNAcentral. Lineage: Eukaryota; Viridiplantae; Streptophyta; Magnoliopsida; Poales; Poaceae.